CCGUGCAGCCGGGGUGGCAGCGGUACCCUGUACCUGCAAUCCGCUAUAGCAGGGGUGAUAUUCUGUCUGAGAGCUUUGACUUGUAUAGCUGCCCUUUAUAAGCGGCGUUGAAGUCUGGGUCUUACGCAACGGAUAUCUGCGAACCGUGUCAGGUUGGGAACAAAGCAGCACUAAGCAGAACCAUCCGUGUGCCGUGAGGGCGCCUGGGCAGAGCUGGCUGUAAAGGUAACGUGUAUGGGUGUCGCCCGAAGCAGAAUGCACGG
This 263-nucleotide signal recognition particle RNA is filed under the name Lachnospiraceae bacterium. Its description in RNAcentral is "signal recognition particle sRNA large type". It matches the Rfam family "Bacterial large signal recognition particle RNA". From Rfam's summary of the family: The signal recognition particle (SRP) is a universally conserved ribonucleoprotein involved in the co-translational targeting of proteins to membranes. Archaeal SRP consists of a 7S RNA and homologues of the eukaryotic SRP19 and SRP54 proteins. Lineage: Bacteria; Bacillati; Bacillota; Clostridia; Lachnospirales; Lachnospiraceae. The record is from RNAcentral.